UAGAGAUGUUUCUUUCCAAAUGUGUGUC
This 28-nucleotide non-coding RNA is filed under the name Mus musculus (house mouse). Lineage: Eukaryota; Metazoa; Chordata; Mammalia; Rodentia; Muridae. The record is from RNAcentral.